RNAcentral lists this long non-coding RNA (5217 nucleotides) under Aquilegia coerulea. Its description in RNAcentral is "long non-coding RNA (ACOE_LNC001764)". Lineage: Eukaryota; Viridiplantae; Streptophyta; Magnoliopsida; Ranunculales; Ranunculaceae. The record is from RNAcentral.
UCGACUAUAAAACAAGAUGGAAAUGUUGAAAGAGAAAACCCCCUUGAACUAUAAACAAGAAAAAUCCCAUAAGAUAAAACUAUAAACAAGAAAAGUCCCUUAAGAUCAACAAAAGUCCUCAAAUGGGAAUGUUGGAAAAGAAAAGUCCCUUGGACUAUAAACAAGAAUAGUCCCUUAUGAUCAACGAAAAAGUACCUUGGAUUAUAAACAAGAAACGAAAGUCCCUCAGUCCCUUGGACUAUAAACAAGAUGGGAAUGUUGGAAGAGAAAAGUCCCCUGUACUAUAAAUAAAAAAAGUCCCUUAAGAUCAACGAAAAAGUCCCUUGGACUAUAAACAAGAAAAGUCCGUGAAGAUCAACGAAAGUCCCCAAAUCCCUUGGACUAUAAACAAGAUUGGAAUGUUGGAAGAGAAAAGUCCUUUGGACUAUAUACAAGAAAAGUCCCUUGAGAUCAACGAAAGUCCCUCAGUCCCUUGGACUAUAAAAUAGAUGGAAAUGUGGGUAGAGAAACGUCCCUUGGACUAUAAACAAGAAACGUCCCUUGAGAUCAACGAUAAAGUCCCUUGGACUAUAAACAAGAUGGGAGUGUUGGAAAAGAAAUGUCCCCUGGACUAUAAACAAGAAAAGUCCCUUGGCACAUAAACAAGAAAAGUCUCUUUAGAUCAACCAAAGUCCCUCGGUCCCUUUGACUAUAAACAAGAUCAGAAUGUUGGAAGAGAAAAGUCCCUUUGACUAUGAACGCGAUAAAUCCCAUAAGAUCAACGGAAGUCCCUCGGUCCCUUGGACUAUUAAUAAAAUGGGAAUGUUGGAAGAGAAAGUCUAUUUAGUCGUUGUAAUAUACUAACCUUGCAGGUAAUUUUUCCAACAUGAGGAAAAAUGUUAACUAUGGAAUAAGGUACAAACACGCCAUGCAUGAGGUAAUCCUGUUAUUGGAAUGCCAUUCUAUGUUGAUUUGUGUUGUAUAGCUAAAUACCAUGUGGAUUUGUUGGUGGUAAAAACUGAAUAUAUUGGGUGGUAGUUUGAAACUGAUGUAAUUUUGCCUGUAUGUUAUGACGACUUGGAAAACAUAUCAUAAUGUGAUAUUGUUUGUUCUCUUAAUUUUGUAACUUACAUUACGAUUCUGCAAGCUCGAUUUAGAAUUAUAUGAUCAUUAGGGCUUUGGUUUGAAUCCAUUUACUGAGGAUUGAUAAAAAAAAUUAAAAAUCAGGAUUGGGAGUUAGAUUUUGUUUAAGUGGAAUGUAAAGCCUAAGACAUAUAUUCCACAAUUUGGCGUAUUAUUUUAGAUUAGAAUAAACAAUAAAAGUCUCCUAGUCCCUUGGACUAUAAACAAGAUGGAAAUGUUGAAAGAGAAAAAGCCCUUAGACUAUAAACAAGAAAAAUCCCUUAAGAUAAAUGAAAAAGUGCCUUAGAUUAUAAACAAGAAAAGUCCCUUAUGAUCAACAAAGUCCCUUAAGAUCAACGAAUGUCCCUCAGUCCCUUGGAUUAUAAACAAAAUGGGAAUGUUGGAAGAGAAAAGUCCCCUGAACUAUAAACAAGAACAGUCCCUUAUGAUCAACGAAAAAGUCCUUUGGACUAUAAACAAGAAAAGUCCGUUAAGAUCAACGAAAGUCCCUCCGUCCCUUGGACUAUAAACAAGAUAGGAAUGUUGGAAGAGAAAGUCCCCAGGACUACAAACAAAAAAAGACCUUUAGGAUCAAUGAAAAAGUCCCUUUUAAACAAGAAAAAGUCCGUAAAUAUCAACGAAAUUCCCAAGUCCCUUGGACUACAAACAAGAUUGGAAUAUUGGAAGAGAAAAGUCCUUUUGACUAUAUACAAGAAAAGUCCCUUGAGAUCAACGAAAGUCCCUCAGUCCCUUGGACUAUAAAAUAGAUGGAAAUGUGGGUAGAGAAAAGUCCCUUGGACUAUAAACAAGAAAGUCCCUUGGACUAUAAACGAGAUGGGAGUGUUGGAAGAGAAAUGCCCCCUGGACUAUAAACAAGAAAAGUCCCUUGGCGCAUAAACAAGAAAAGUCUCUUUAGAUCAACCAAAGUGCCUCGGUCCCUUUGGCUAUAAACAAGAUCAGAAUGUUGAAAGAGAAAAAUCCCUUUGACUAUGAACGAGAUAAAUCCCAUAAGAUCAACGGAAGUCCUUCGGUCCCUUGGACUAUUAACAAAAUGGGAAUGUUGGAAGAGAAAGUCCAUCUAGUCGUUUUAAUAUACUAACCUUGCAGGUAGUAUUUCCAACAUGAGGAAAAAGGUUAACUAUGGAUUAAGGUACAAACACGCCAUGGAUGAGGUAAUCCUAUUAUUGGAAUGCUAUUGUGUGUUGAUUUGUGUUGUAUACCUAAAUACCAUGUGGAUAUGUUGGUGGUAAAAACUGAAUAUAUUGGGUGGUAGUUUGAAACUGAUGUAAUUUUGCCUGUAUGUUAUGACGACAUGGAAAACAUAUCUUAAUGUGAUAUUGUUUGUUCUCUUAAUUUCGUAACUUACAUUACGAUUCUGCAAGCUCGAUUUAGAAUUAUAUGAUCAUUAGGGUUUUGGUUUGAAUCCAUUUACUGAUGAUUGAUAAAAAAAUUAAAAAUCAGGAUUGGGAGUUAGAUUUUGUUUAGUGGAAUGUAAAACCUAAGACCUAUGUUCCACCAUUUGGGGUAUUGUUUUAGAUUAGAAUAAACAAUAAAAGUCUCCCAGUCCCUUGGACUAUAAGCAAGAUGGUAAUAUGGGAAGAGAAAAGUCCCAUGGACUAUAAACAAGAAAUGUCCGUUGGACUAUAAACAAAAUAAGUCCCUUAAGAUCAAGGAAAGUCCCUCAGUCCCUUGGACUAUAUACAAGAUGGAAAUGUUGAAAGAGAAAAACCCCUUAGAAUAGAAACAAGAAAAAUCCCUUAAGAUAAACGAAAAAUUCCCUUAGACUAUAAACAAGAAAAGUCCCUUAUGAUCAACGAAAGUCCUUCAGUCCCUUGGACUAUAAACAAAAUGGGAAUGUUGGAAAAAAAAGUCCCCUGGAUUAUAAACAAGUACAGUCCCUUAUGAUCAACGAAAAAGUCCCUUGGACUAUAAACAAAAAAAGUCCCUUAAGAUCAACGAAAGUCCCUCGGUCCCUUGCACUAUAAACAAGAUGGGAAUGUUGGAAGAGAAAAGUCCCCUAGACUAUAAACAAAAAAAGUCCCUUAAGAUCAACGAAAAAGUCCCUUGGACUAUAAACAAGAAAAGUCCGUGAAGAUCAACGAAAGUCUUAGUCCCUUGGACUAUAAACAAGAUGGGAAUGUUGGAAGAGAAAAGUCCUUUGGACUUUAAACAAGAAAAGUCCCUUGAUAUCAAUGAAAGUCCCUCAGUCCCUUGGACUAUAAAAUAGAUGGAAAUGUGGGUAGAGAAAAGUUCCUUGGACUAUAAACAAGAAAAAUCCCUUGAGAUCAAAGAUAAAGUCCCUUGGACUAUAAACAAGAUUGGAGUGUUGGAAGAGAAAUGUCCCCUGGACUAUAAACAAUAAAAGUCCCUUGGACUAUAAACAAGAUAAGUAUCUUUAGAUCAACCAAAGUCCCUUAGUCCCUCGGGCUAUAAACAUUAUUGGAAUGUUGGAAGAGAAAAGUCCCUUUGACUAUGAAGGAGAUAUGUCCCGUAAGAUCAACGGAAGUCCCUCAUUUCUUUGGACUAUUAACAAGAUGUGAAUGUUGGAAGAGAAAGUCCAUCUAGUCGUUGUAAUAUACUAACCUUGCAGGUAAUAUUUCCAACAUGAGGAAAAAGGUUAGCUAUGGAAUAAGGUACAAACACGCCAUGCAUGAGGUAAUCCUACUAUUGGAAUGCCAUUCUGUGUUGAUUUGUGUUGUAUAGCUAAAUACCAUGUGGAUAUGUUGGUGGUAAAAACUGAAUAUAUUGGGUGGUAGUUUGAAACUCAUGUAAUUUUGCCUGUAUGUUAUGACGACUUGGAAAAUAUAUUUUAAUGUGAUAUUGUUUAUUCUCUUAAUUUCGUAACUUAUGUUACGAUUCUGCAAGCUCGAUUUAGAAUUAUAUUAUCAUUAGGGUUUUGGUUUGAAUCAAUUUACUGAGGAUUGAUAAAAAGAAAUUAAAAAUCAGGAUUGGGAGUUGGAUUUUGUUUAAGUGCAAUGUAAAACCUAAGACCUAUGUUCCACAAUUUGGCUUAUUGUUUUAGAUUAGAAUAAACAACGAAAGUUUCCCAGUCCCUUGGACUAUAAGCAAGAUGGUAAUAUGGGAAGAGAAAAUUCCCAUGGGCUAUAAACAAGAAAUGUCCGUUGGACUAUAAACAAAAAAAGUCCCUUGAGAUCAACGAAUGUCCCUCGGUCCCUUGGACUAUAAAUAUGAUGGGAAUGUUGGAAGAGAAAAUUCCCCGGACUAUAAACAAAAAAAGUCCGUGAAGAUCAAUGAAAGUCCCUAAGUCUCUUGGACUAUAAACAAGAUGGGAAUGUUGGAAGAGUAAAGUCCUUUGGACUAUAAACAAGAAAAGUGCCUUGAGAUCAACGAAAGUCCCUCAGUCUCUUGGACUAUAAAAUAGAUGGAAAUGUGGGUAGAGAAAAGUCCCUUGGACUAUAAAAAAAGAAAAGUCCAUCGAGAUCAACGAAAAAGUCCAUUGGAUUAUAAACAAGAUGGUUGGAAGAGAAAUGUCCCCUGGACUAUAAACAAGAAAAGUUCCUUGGACUAUAAAAAAGAAAAGUCUCUUUAGAUCAACCAAAGUCCUUCAGUCCCUCGGACUAUAAACAAGAUCGGAAUGUUGGAAGAGAAAAUUCCUUCUCACUUUGAACGAGAAAAGUCCUAUAAGAUCACCUCAGUCCCUCAGUCCCUUGGACUAUAAACAAGAUGGGAAUGUUGGAAGAGAAAGUCAAUCUGGUCGUUGUAAUAUACUAACCUUGCAGGUAAUAUUUCCAACAUGAGGGAAAAUGUUAGCUAUGGAAUAAAGUACAAACACGCAUGCAUGAGGUAAUAUCGUAUUUUUAUUUUAUUUUAUUCUCAUAUGGCUUACAUUGAAAACAAUGCAAUAUCUUGUUUGGGGGUGUCUGUUUGACUUUUAUUUUCAUGUGUUGUUUUGUAUGUUGCUGAAAAUAAUGUGUGAAUAUAUGCUAAUUAGUAUUUUACGAAUUAUCUAAAUCUUGUUCAUAAUAACAAAAUUUGUUCUUUGAAUUAGUGCUUUGUUUGGUAUAACCUUAUAAAAAAAUUGAACGAUGCAUUGGUGCAAUGAAUUGUUAGUGAAAUUAUCAUUUUUUUAAUCUCAAAAUUAUAGGGACUGAAGCA